UGAAAUCUUUGCAGAUACUUAGGUAUAUUUUAGGUACUUCAUGGAAGCGGGCAAAUCGAUAUCAUAUGUGAAGGGUUCAAACCCAUUUCCGAGAAAAUAUCUUACUAUGUAUCUCCUAGACAAACAGUAGAAGUGCUGAUCGAAAGACAUAAUAAAGUCAUCGCAUUUUCCAAGAAUCUUGAUAAACUUUUAUCCUUUAUAGCCUUGAUGCAAAUUUUUUGGAAUACUUUAGUCAUCUGCUUCCUAGGCCUGCUCAUUGUAAUAUCUAUUCAUAACGCCGCUGGUGUCGUCCUAGUGAGAGCCAUAAUUGCUUACUUUGACAUAAUGAUGGAAAUUUUUAUCUUCUGAUUUGCUGGAGAAUACCUUAGCCAUAAGAGUCGAUCACUCGGCGAUGCAGGAUACGAAACUUCAUGGUAUAACAUGUCGCCCAGUUGCAGUAAAAAUAUAUUAUUUUUUAUCAUGAGGUCUCAGAAACAAAUCUCUAUUACUGCGGGAGGAAUGACAAAUUUAUCGUUAGAAGCAUUCACGAACGUAAGCCUACUGAUUUUUUCUUCUUCUAUAACUAUAUGAUUCCUUGCUUUUCUCCUAAAUAAUG
Long non-coding RNA from Dinoponera quadriceps, 595 nucleotides. RefSeq lists it as uncharacterized. The record is from RefSeq and is a predicted model, not a curated record. Lineage: Eukaryota; Metazoa; Arthropoda; Insecta; Hymenoptera; Formicidae. The transcript is spliced from 3 exons.